This 253-nucleotide ribosomal RNA is filed under the name uncultured bacterium. RNAcentral describes it as "partial 16S ribosomal RNA". It matches the Rfam family "Bacterial small subunit ribosomal RNA", at positions 524 to 776 of the family's 1533-position model. The record is from RNAcentral.
UACAGAGGUCUCAAGCGUUGUUCGGAUUCAUUGGGCGUAAAGGGUGCGUAGGCGGCGCGGUAAGUCGGAUGUGAAAUCUCGGAGCUUAACUCCGAAACUGCAUUCGAUACUGCCGUGCUUGAGGACUGGAGAGGAGACUGGAAUUUACGGUGUAGCGGUGAAAUGCGUAGAUAUCGUAAGGAAGACCAGUGGCGAAGGCGGGUCUCUGGACAGUUCCUGACGCUGAGGCACGAAGGUCAGGGGAGCAAACGGG